UGAGGAAUCUUCCACAAUGGGCGAAAGCCUGAUGGAGCAACGCCGCGUGAAGGAUGAAGGCCCUCGGGUCGUAAACUUCUUUUAUAAGUGAAGAAUAUGACGGUAACUUAUGAAUAAGCACCGGCUAACUACGUGCCAGCAGCCGCGGUCAUACGUAGGGUGCAAGCAUUAUCCGGAGUGACUGGGCGUAAAGAGUUGCGUAGGUGGUUUGUUAAGUAGAUAGUGAAAUCUGGCGGCUCAACCGUACAGGCUAUUAUCUAAACUGGCAAACUCGAGAAUGGUAGAGGUAACUGGAAUUUCUUGUGUAGGAGUGAAAUCCGUAGAUAUAAGAAGGAACACCAAUGGCGUAGGCAGGUUACUGGACCAUUUCUGACACUGAGGCACGAAAGCGUGGGGAGCGAACCGG
RNAcentral lists this ribosomal RNA (406 nucleotides) under bacterium. RNAcentral's name for it is "partial 16S ribosomal RNA". It matches the Rfam family "Bacterial small subunit ribosomal RNA", at positions 355 to 776 of the family's 1533-position model. The record is from RNAcentral. RNAcentral also lists the same sequence under 3 other names.